RNAcentral lists this unclassified non-coding RNA (332 nucleotides) under soil metagenome. Its description in RNAcentral is "partial contains 5.8S ribosomal RNA, internal transcribed spacer 2, and large subunit ribosomal RNA". The stretch from base 1 to 120 matches the Rfam family "5.8S ribosomal RNA", at positions 35 to 154 of the family's 154-position model. The record is from RNAcentral.
GAUGAAGAACGCAGCGAAAUGCGAUAAGUAGUGUGAAUUGCAGAAUUCAGUGAAUCAUCGAAUCUUUGAACGCACAUUGCGCCCCUUGGUAUUCCGAGGGGCAUGCCUGUUCGAGCGUCAUUAUCACCCCUCAAGCUCAGCUUGGUGUUGGGGCCGGCCCGUCACAGGGCCGCCCCUAAAAGCAGUGGCGGUGCCAUCUGGCUCUACGCGUAGUAAUACUCCUCGCGACAGAGUCCCGGUGGUGUCCUGCCAGAACCCCCCAUCUUUUUAAUGAUUGACCUCGGAUCAGGUAGGGAUACCCGCUGAACUUAAGCAUAUCAAUAAGCGGAGGA